Pelobates cultripes (western spadefoot toad) is the source of this 566-nucleotide non-coding RNA. The record is from the annotation of a GenBank genome assembly. NCBI's taxonomy places the organism in Eukaryota, Metazoa, Chordata, Amphibia, Anura, Pelobatidae.
GUGUUAUCACUAACACACAUCAUGGGAAUGAAGCUCCGGAGCAGAUUUAUACUGUUAUUAUGUGACUGCUAUGCUUGCUUGCUUUCAGGAGAGGCGAGGUUUAGGGGAAGUCCCUGCCAGCAUCAACUCUCACACUAGACUGAAAGCUCAGACAUUAAACAUUCACCAGCAGAGACGUGAGAGAGAACACAGUGAACACAGAUUGUGACCAGGGGAAGAUCCAAUGUAAAGGACACCAGGAAAAGACUACAAACAGGACAUUUUUAUCAUAUGAUGGGGCUGUGAGCACAGCUCUUAGUGGGUAUCCUGUUAUACAGCCCUGGCUAAGUGCGAGGAUUAUUAUACAGCCAUGGAUGAGUGAAGCUGUAGUUACAGAGCUGCUGUGCAGAUCGUCUCUGAAUGUUUUCGACAGUGAGAGAGUGCUGUACAGUCCUCAUUGCUGGAGACAUUGACCACACAGGAGCCGUUGCUUAUAAUGAACUGCAGGGCGAGUUGGAACCCACUUCCAAAAGUUUUCAGCUGAUGGUUGUUUCAAGGGAGAUGCAGCGAUCACUGUGUUAAUGUGC